RNAcentral lists this ribosomal RNA (396 nucleotides) under uncultured bacterium. RNAcentral describes it as "bacterial SSU rRNA". It matches the Rfam family "Bacterial small subunit ribosomal RNA", at positions 28 to 428 of the family's 1533-position model. The record is from RNAcentral.
GACGAACGCUGGCGGCGUGCUUAACACAUGCAAGUCGAGCGGUAAGGCCCUUUCGGGGGUACACGAGCGGCGAAUGGGUGAGUAACACGUGGGUGACCUGCCUUUAGCUCUGGGAUAAGCCUGGGAAACUGGGUCUAAUACCGGAUAUGACCCUAUGGCGCAUGUUGUGGGGUGGAAAGCCUUGUGCGGCUAGGGGAUGGGCCCGCGGCCUAUCAGCUUGUUGGUGGGGUGAUGGCCUACCAAGGCGACGACGGGUAGCCGGCCUGAGAGGGCGACCGGCCACACUGGGACUGAGACACGGCCCAGACUCCUACGGGAGGCAGCAGUGGGGAAUCUUGCGCAAUAGGCGAAAGCCUGACGCAGCGACGCCGCGUGAGGGAUGACGGCCUGGUGUAA